CUCACCCCGGGUAACCUGGCGGUUCCUCCGCCGCCAGCGCCUCAGAGCGGGGCCGCUGCCCCGAGCCCUCCGGGGACCGCGCUGAACCCGUCCCGUCAGGGCUCCGGGGCUCGGUGUGCUCGUCUUCUCAGUGACGAGGGUGAUCCAAACCCCUGGGCCCACCCUUGCCCUCACCCCGGGGCAGAGAGGCCAAACUCAGCCCGGCCAUCAUCUCAGCCCUUCCCUCGGCCGCCUCAGGCGCACCCGGCAGCGAGGACAACGCUGAGGGGCCACCAGGGGAAGAGCGAGGAGCGGAGUUGCACAGGACAAGAGCUGCGACAGUCAGGCUAUAAACUUGCACAUGGAAAUUAAAUUACAGAUCUGGGAAAAUAUUCAAGAGAUCAUCUGAGUUGAACAGGACAGGAACAUGUGGCUCCAAGGACCCAGGGAACACAACACACACUCCACUUGCAUGGAUAAGCAAGACACAGCCCCAAAUGGAUGCAACCAGGCCUUCACUGUCAGCAGGAACCAGCUGGGGGAAGCACCUAAUGAAAGAGCAGCUAUGGGAUACUGAGCUCUUCCCAAAAGAUCCCACAGAGACAGAUCCCUGCUGGCUUGGCUGGCAGGAGGAGAUACUCACAGGAACUGCUGAUUGUCUUCUCAAUCAUGUUAAAGAUUUAACCCUUAGUUCCAGUCUGUGGCUCACAUGAACACUUGCAGACAAACAAGAGGCCAUUUCUGCACCAUCUUAAUCCUCCAAAGCAGGGAUAAAGUCCUAAAAUGCAUCUUCUGCAGCUGGGAAGCAUCUGAGACCCAAACUCCUGUUCUGAGUUGUAGUAAUCUGCAUAUGAGGGCUAUGGAGAAUGUUUUGACCUUCAUGCUAACCCACUGCAACUAAAUCUGACAGUAUCAUUUCUGCUCCUUAUUAAUCACAUCUUGAUUUUCUCUGUUUUGUAAGCAUCCUGGCAAUAAACACUUUGUCUAGGUCUAUUCACCUCA
Long non-coding RNA from Melospiza melodia melodia, 981 nucleotides. RefSeq lists it as uncharacterized. The record is from RefSeq and is a predicted model, not a curated record. NCBI's taxonomy places the organism in Eukaryota, Metazoa, Chordata, Aves, Passeriformes, Passerellidae. The transcript is spliced from 3 exons.